This 565-nucleotide long non-coding RNA is filed under the name Homo sapiens (human). Its description in RNAcentral is "non-protein coding lnc-AOC3-2:1". Lineage: Eukaryota; Metazoa; Chordata; Mammalia; Primates; Hominidae. The record is from RNAcentral.
GUCUUUCUGCAAUGACUACCUUGCUGAAAACAUGCGCCACGCGUCUUCAUGAUCUUACCUCCUCUGCUUACUCCCCUCCUCCCCAACUCCCACCAAAUAGGCUGAUCCUUGGCUGUUCCCUGCUUGUGCUGAGCUGUUUCAGGUUUCUGUGCCUUUGCUGGAAUAUCCUUCCUCUUCUCUGCCAGGUGAAUGCAUCAUCUUCAAGGUCGGCUCGAACAUCUCUUCCUGAGAAGUCUUCCUAGAUGUGUCCAGGUUGGAGAGGAUUCUUCCCCAGUGCCCAGCCUUGGACACACCCUGGCCAGAGCCAGCUGUUUGCAGACCUGAGCCGAGAGGAGCUGACGGCUGUGAUGCGCUUUCUGACCCAGCAGCUGGGGCCAGGGCUGGUGGAUGCAGCCCAGGCCCAGCCCUCGGACAACUGUGUCUUCUCAGUGGAGUUGCAGCUGCCUCCCAAGGCUGCAGCCCUGGCUCACUUGGACAGGGGGAGCCCCCCACCUGCCCGGGAGGCACUGGCCAUCGUCUUCUUUGGCAGGCAACCCCAGCCCAACGUGAGUGAGCUGGUGGUGGG